RNAcentral lists this ribosomal RNA (468 nucleotides) under Pseudomonas sp. IIIA19-2. RNAcentral describes it as "bacterial SSU rRNA". It matches the Rfam family "Bacterial small subunit ribosomal RNA", at positions 18 to 482 of the family's 1533-position model. Lineage: Bacteria; Pseudomonadati; Pseudomonadota; Gammaproteobacteria; Pseudomonadales; Pseudomonadaceae. The record is from RNAcentral.
UAUGGCUCAGAUUGAACGCUGGCGGCAGGCCUAACACAUGCAAGUCGAGCGGUAGAGAGAAGCUUGCUUCUCUUGAGAGCGGCGGACGGGUGAGUAAUGCCUAGGAAUCUGCCUGGUAGUGGGGGAUAACGUUCGGAAACGAACGCUAAUACCGCAUACGUCCUACGGGAGAAAGCAGGGGACCUUCGGGCCUUGCGCUAUCAGAUGAGCCUAGGUCGGAUUAGCUAGUUGGUGAGGUAAUGGCUCACCAAGGCGACGAUCCGUAACUGGUCUGAGAGGAUGAUCAGUCACACUGGAACUGAGACACGGUCCAGACUCCUACGGGAGGCAGCAGUGGGGAAUAUUGGACAAUGGGCGAAAGCCUGAUCCAGCCAUGCCGCGUGUGUGAAGAAGGUCUUCGGAUUGUAAAGCACUUUAAGUUGGGAGGAAGGGCAUUAACCUAAUACGUUAGUGUUUUGACGUACCGAC